Long non-coding RNA from Apteryx rowi (Okarito brown kiwi), 1613 nucleotides. The record is from Ensembl. NCBI's taxonomy places the organism in Eukaryota, Metazoa, Chordata, Aves, Apterygiformes, Apterygidae.
UGAAGUUUACCCAGCUGUUUUAGUUUACAUACAUGUAGUUUUAUCUUUCUUGUAUCCUUUUUUAGCUUUUAGAAGCACUUAUGAACCAAAGAGCAUCUCGGCUGCAGAAGAGGGGACUUUGCGCUCUGCCACCAGCGGUGCUGCUGUGCCUCUGGCACGCACCAGCGCCACGGCAAAGUCAUCAGGGUCUCCAGCCAGCAGCAGUGUCCCCAGAGCCACCUCCAGCACCGAUGCGACCGGCUCCUCAGGCGGGACCUCGUCCUCCACUGCAGCUCGGGGACCCGGCGUGAGAGGCUCGUGGGAUGCCACGAACGUCACAGCACCUUCCACAGACCCGGCGCUCGCAAGCUCGCACUCUGCCUUGGGAAGCACUUUCACAGGUGUCAGAAGCAGCCACCGACCAACUAACAGCGCAGCCACAGAGAAAAGAGCUGCUGAUUCCUCUACCACCAGCGCCUACGUUUCAGCCACAGCCACCGGCACGGGAGGAAGGACACUGAGGUCCCUAACAAAUAGCAGCAGAUGGGCAGUAGAAGUCUCUACUUCUGGCAGUGGCACGUCCCAGGCUGUAGGUACAAGCCAAUCCUCAUCUGUGUCUUCCGUAAGAGAGACCUACGGAGUUAACGGGUCAAGAGCCAUCACAGAUGUCACCGAACCUUUAGCAGACCCUUCGCUAACAUAUUCUCACUCUCCUUUGGAAAUGCCUUCCACAGCUACUAGAAGCAGCCAUGUGUCAUUCAGCAUCCCAUCAACAGAGAAAAGAACUGAUUUUCCUACCACCAGUACGUACGUUUCGACACCAUCCACCAGAGGUGGAGGAAGGACAUUAAGGUCGCUACCAAGCAGCACCAGCCUGACCGAUGCGACAGAGAUUUCCACUUCCAGAACCGAAAUGAUCCACCCUUUGGAUCGGACCCAGUCGUCUGGGACAUCUUUGGCAGCAGAGGCUGGUGGUGAUGCAGGUGCCACCGUGCUGUUCACGGACCCGUUGCUCUUGGACUCUGCAUCUGCUUCAGCAAGCACUUCCCCAGGAACUAUGAUCUCGGCUACGGAAAAAAGCAUGUCUGACCCUCCUCUCACCAGUGCGCCCAGYGCAGUGACGGCUACCAGAGGUGCGGAAGGGACUGUGGAGCCUGUGGCCAACAUCAGCGCAGCGACCGGUGCUGCAGAAAGCAGCACGUCCUUGGAUCUGAUCCAUCUGUCAUCUUCUGUAACGGAGGCUGAAAGGCAGCCUAAUAUUUCACAGAAGAGAGAAAAAGGGGUUUCCGGCGUUCCUACCGAGAGCACGUACAUCUCAACCGCCUUCUCCACGCGCGGAGAGGGGACCUCUCAGGCUCCCAUUGACCGCAGCACGUGGAGCGAGGUGACGGAAAGCUCCACUUCUCGCCCAGACGUGGCCGGGGAGUCGCGCUCCAGCCCCUUCCCGUCCGCAACAGCAUGGCCUGGAGGAGGGCCCGUCUCAUCCAGCGAUUCAGGUUAUACCGAGCCCUCGGCCGAGGUCACACUUUCAUCCCGGGCCUCCACCGAAUUCUCUGCCCCACGUAAACCUUCCAGUGAGUUUUUCUGAAUGCCAAAAUCACUGUUGAAUUAGAAAAAAAGCAUUCACUCCCACU